RNAcentral lists this ribosomal RNA (432 nucleotides) under uncultured bacterium. RNAcentral's name for it is "partial 16S ribosomal RNA". It matches the Rfam family "Bacterial small subunit ribosomal RNA", at positions 338 to 795 of the family's 1533-position model. The record is from RNAcentral.
CCUACGGGGGGCUGCAGUCGAGAAUUUUUCUCAAUGGGGGCAACCCUGAAGGAGCGACGCCGCGUGGAGGAUGAAGGCUUUCGGGUUGUAAACUCCUGUCAUUUGAGAACUAGUAUCAGAAGAGGAAGGGACGGCUAACUCUGUGCCAGCAGCCGCGGUAAUACAGAGGUCCCAAGCGUUGUUCGGAUUCAUUGGGCGUAAAGGGUGCGUAGGUGGCGCCGUAAGUGGGGUGUGAAAUUUCGGAGCUUAACUCCGAAACUGCAUUCCAUACUGCGGUGCUUGAGGACUGGAGAGGAGACUGGAAUUUACGGUGUAGCAGUGAAAUGCGUAGAGAUCGUAAGGAAGACCAGUGGCGAAGGCGGGUCUCUGGACAGUCCUGACACUGAGGCACGAAGGCCAGGGGAGCAAACGGGAUUAGAUACCCUUGUAGUC